This is a long non-coding RNA of Oncorhynchus keta (chum salmon), 287 nucleotides long. RefSeq lists it as uncharacterized. The transcript is spliced from 3 exons. Lineage: Eukaryota; Metazoa; Chordata; Actinopteri; Salmoniformes; Salmonidae. The record is from RefSeq and is a predicted model, not a curated record.
GGUCCCUAAUUAACCUGAGAGUUGCUCUGCCUUUGAGGUCCCUAAUUAACCUGAGAGUUGCUCUGCCUUUGAGGUCCCUAAUUAACCUGAGAGUUGCUCUGCCUUUGAGGUCCCUAAUUAACCUGAGAGUUGCUCUGCCUUUGAGGUCCCUAAUUAACCUGAGAGUUGCUCUGCCUUUGAGGUCCCUAAUUAACCUGAGAGUUGCUCUGCCUUUGAGGUCCCUAAUUAACCUGAGAGUUGCUCUGCCUUUGAGGUCCCUAAUUAACCUGAGAGUUGCUCUGCCUUUG